CCUACGGGAGGCAGCAGUGGGGAAUAUUGCGCAAUGGGGGAAACCCUGACGCAGCAACGCCGCGUGAGUGAGGAAGGACUUCGGUCUGUAAAGCUCUGUUAAUGUGGAAAAAUGGUUAGUGGUCUAAUAGGCCAUUGAUUUGAUGGUACACAUAGAGGAAGCACCGGCUAACUUCGUGCCAGCAGCCGCGGUAAUACGAAGGGUGCAAGCGUUGUUCGGAUUUAUUGGGCGUAAAGCGCGCGUAGGCGGACCUGCAAGUCAGAUGUGAAAUCUCGGGGCUCAACCUCGAAACUGCGUCUGAAACUACAGGUCUAGAAUCUUGGGAGGGGGAAGGGGAAUUUCUCAUGUAGGGGUAAAAUCCGUAGAUAUGAGAAGGAACACCAGAGGCGAAGGCGCCUUCCUGGACAAGUAUUGACGCUGAGGCGCGAAAGCGUGGGGAUCAAACAGGAUUAGAUACCCUGGUAGUCCACGCUGUAAACGAUGAAUACUAGAUAUUGCAGGAUUUGACCCCUGCAGUGUCGUAGCUAACGCGUUAAGUAUUCCGCCUGGGAAGUCGGUCGCAAGACUAAAACUCAAAGGAUUGACGGU
RNAcentral lists this ribosomal RNA (588 nucleotides) under uncultured bacterium. Its description in RNAcentral is "bacterial SSU rRNA". It matches the Rfam family "Bacterial small subunit ribosomal RNA", at positions 338 to 917 of the family's 1533-position model. The record is from RNAcentral.